GUAUCCAAGGAGGAAACCCCGGCUAACUACGUGCCAGCAGCCGCGGUAAUACGUAGGGGGCAAGCGUUGUCCGGAAUAAUUGGGCGUAAAGGGCGCGUAGGCGGCUCGGUAAGUCUGGAGUGAAAGUCCUGCUUUUAAGGUGGGAAUUGCUUUGGAUACUGUCGGGCUUGAGUGCAGGAGAGGUUAGUGGAAUUCCCAGUGUAGCGGUGAAAUGCGUAGAGAUUGGGAGGAACACCAGUGGCGAAGGCGACUAACUGGACUGUAACUGACGCUGAGGCGCGAAAGUGUGGGGAGCAAACAGGAUUAGAUACCCUGGUAGUCCACACUGUAAACGAUGAAUGCUAGGUGUAGGGGGUAUCGACCCCUUCUGUGCCGCAGUCAACACAAUAAGCAUUCCGCCUGGGGA
Molecule: ribosomal RNA, 406 nt
Filed under: uncultured bacterium
Lineage: Bacteria
Description: bacterial SSU rRNA
Rfam family: Bacterial small subunit ribosomal RNA
Source: RNAcentral